RNAcentral lists this ribosomal RNA (497 nucleotides) under uncultured bacterium. RNAcentral describes it as "partial 16S ribosomal RNA". It matches the Rfam family "Bacterial small subunit ribosomal RNA", at positions 28 to 507 of the family's 1533-position model. The record is from RNAcentral.
GAUGAACGCUGGCGGCGUGCCUAAUACAUGCAAGUCGAGCGAACAGACGAGGAGCUUGCUCCUCUGACGUUAGCGGCGGACGGGUGAGUAACACGUGGAUAACCUACUUAUAUGACUGGGAUAAUUUCGGGAAACAGGAGAUAAUACUGGAUAAUAUAUUGAACCGCAUGGAUCAAUAGAGAAUGACGGCUUUGCCGUCACUUAUAGAUGAAUCCGCGCCGCAUUAGCUAGUUGGUAAGGUAACGGCUUACCAAGGCGACGAUGCGUAGCCGACCUGAGAGGGUGAUCAGCCACACUGGAACUGAGACACGGUCCAGACUCCUACGGGAGGCAGCAGUAGGGAAUCUUGCGCAAUGGGCGAAAGCCUGACGCAGCCACGCCGCGUGAGUGAUGAAGGUCUUCGGAUCGUAAAGCUCUGUUAUUAGGAAAGAACAGAUGUAUAAGUAACUAUGCACGUCUUGACGGUACCUAAUCAAAAAGCCACGGCUAACUACGUG